Non-coding RNA from Schistosoma rodhaini, 45 nucleotides. Lineage: Eukaryota; Metazoa; Platyhelminthes; Trematoda; Strigeidida; Schistosomatidae. The record is from Rfam.
AUCCAGCUGACGAGUCCCAAAUAGGACGAAACGCUCAUACUGGAU